AUUGAACGCUGGCGGCAUGCUUUACACAUGCCAGUCGAACGGCAGCGCGGGCUUCGGCCUGGCGGCGAGUGGCGAACGGGUGAGUAAUGCAUCUGAACGUGCCCAGUAGUGGGGGAUAGCCCGGCGAAAGCCGGAUUAAUACCGCAUACGACCUGAGGGUGAAAGCGGGGGACCGAAAGGCCUCGCGCUAUUGGAGCGGCCGAUGUCGGAUUAGCUAGUUGGUGGGGUAAAGGCUUACCAAGGCGACGAUCCGUAGCUGGUCUGAGAAGACGACCAGCCACACUGGGACUGAGACACGGCCCAGACUCCUACGGGAGGCAGCAGUGGGGAAUGUUGGACAAUGGGGGCAACCCUGAUCCAGCCAUGCCGCGUGCGGGAAGAAGGCCUUCGGGUUGUAAACCGCUUUUGUUCGGGAAGAAAUCCUCUGGGCUAAUACCCCGGGGGGAUGACGGUACCGGAAGAAUAAGCACCGGCUAACUACGUG
Molecule: ribosomal RNA, 484 nt
Filed under: uncultured bacterium
Lineage: Bacteria
Description: partial 16S ribosomal RNA
Rfam family: Bacterial small subunit ribosomal RNA
Source: RNAcentral